AGUGAACGCUGGCGGUAGGCCUAACACAUGCAAGUCGAACGGCAGCACAGUAAGAGCUUGCUCUUAAGGGUGGCGAGUGGCGGACGGGUGAGGAAUACAUCGGAAUCUACUUUUUCGUGGGGGAUAACGUAGGGAAACUUACGCUAAUACCGCAUACGACCUACGGGUGAAAGCAGGGGAUCUUCGGACCUUGCGCGAUUGAAUGAGCCGAUGUCGGAUUAGCUAGUUGGCGGGGUAAGGGCCCACCAAGGCGACGAUCCGUAGCUGGUCUGAGAGGAUGAUCAGCCACACUGGAACUGAGACACGGUCCAGACUCCUACGGGAGGCAGCAGUGGGGAAUAUUGGGCAAUGGGCGCAAGCCUGAUCCAGCCAUACCGCGUGAGUGAAGAAGGCCUUCGGGUCGUAAAGCCCUUUUGUUGGGAAAGAAAAGCAGCAGGUUAAUACCCCGCUGUUCUGACGGUACCCAAAGAAUAAGCACCGGCUAACUUCGUG
Molecule: ribosomal RNA, 492 nt
Filed under: uncultured bacterium
Lineage: Bacteria
Description: partial 16S ribosomal RNA
Rfam family: Bacterial small subunit ribosomal RNA
Source: RNAcentral